RNAcentral lists this long non-coding RNA (310 nucleotides) under Homo sapiens (human). RNAcentral describes it as "HSALNT0263478". Lineage: Eukaryota; Metazoa; Chordata; Mammalia; Primates; Hominidae. The record is from RNAcentral.
GAGCAGCAACGGCGCUGCCCGGGCCCCCCCUGCCUCAUCCCUCCGUCCGGCCCUGGGACGCGGAGGAGCCGGACCUUGGAUUGUGCCGCGGCCCCUUUAAGACGGAAGCCACCGCCGCUGAUUGAACGGGGGAGGGGAGGGGAAAGCGGGAAAGACCGAACCAUGGGGAAGCCUGGGCUCCUAGGCUCCCGUGGCUUUCCACGUGUUCGCGCCAGCUGAGCCCUUUACAUAACCUCUUUACAUAAGCUGCACCUCCCGCCGGCGCCCGGGCCAGCGGAGACUCCUGGUGGCCCAUCCCCCGGGACGCCAG